CGGAUAUCAAUCAAAACAUUUGUUCUGCACAGUUUAGAUGCGGAGAUAUCAGGUUUCAAAUAGCAAGAGACUUUUCAAGAAGUGCGUGUGCUCUUUGCCACGUAUUCCAAGUGACGUUCUCAGAGAAGCUGCAUACUGAAUUAUUUUUAACAUCAGACAUCCGGUUGAAGAAGUAACACUAAAAGAGACAAAAUGAACUUUUUAGUCUGCUUUUGUUUAAUCGGACUUUUGUCUUCUGUUGUAAUUAAAUGUUCUGAUGUCGGUAAGCAAAUUUUAAUUAUGUCGAAUGUUGGAUAAUUUUAUUAAUGCAUGAAAUUUGUUUAUUACUGGAUCAUACACUUUUGUAAAUUAUACAUUUCCACAUUAACCUUAAACAAGACCUGUCAAAAAGAAACUUGAUAAAAAAAAUCUUUCUGUAUUUAUCCCCCUUUACAUUUCUCCAGCUUUAGAUUCAUUUCCAUUGAGAAGUGUUAUUCAAGAUUGCAAUUUAUUAUUUAAUUUAUUGUCAUCCUAUUUUAAGGCACAGUCAGACAAUAUUUAUGAAAUAUACAAACGUUCAAAUGAAAACCAUGAACAUUUUUAUAAGGCAGUGGCUAUUUGACCGGCACCGACAAAAUAGAAAAAAUGCUAUUUUGCGGGCUCUGAUUAAAUUAUACCUUACUGGAAUUAAAUUGAUUGAUUGAUUGUUGUUUGCUUUACCCCGCAUAAUAGCAUGUAUAUAAUAUAACUGAUUUAUAAUGGCCCACAAAUAAAUUAUUGUCUUGUCAUUUAAAAAAAAAUAUCAUAUGAACAUUAGGGGGGGUAGGAGGGGUCCUGAUCCCGAAAUCCCGGGCUUAAAAACACGAAAUUCCGAGGUCCCGAUUAAAAAAAAUCUAAAUCCCGAAGUCCCGAAAUUAGAAAAAAAGAAUUCCCGGAUCCCGAAAGGGUCAAUCCCGAAAUCCCGAGCUUAAAAACACCCGAUCCCGGAGUCCCGAUAAAGGUCCUAUCCCCCCUCAACAUUGAUGAACAUGAUGAAAAGUCAGCUCACAGACAGCCUCAGACAAACAGUAUUGAUAUACCUGAUUAGUAGUUAUGUAACAGUGGUUUGAUUCCGCCAGUGUACUUUAUCUGGAGGAUGAAAAUCCCUAGUGUUUUUUAUCCACCAACAAAAAUUCACUAGGGUUUUUCAUUCGGGUCCAGUGUGAAAUAUCCACCACUCUUGAUAAGAUUCUAAAAUUCGUUUUUUGAAAGGGAAAUAUAUAAAAAAUGGGGCUUGUUAUUUUUUAGGGGUAUUUGAAUUAACUAAAACUUGCAUAGCUUUGCAUUCAUCCAUGAAAUGAUGAAAUGUUCACUCAAAUGUUUUGAACCAGGAAUGAUACCACUAGUGAUUUUGAACCAGGAAUUAUUAAACUUGUAAAUCUGUAACUGGAAUGAUAUCGCACUUAAGUUACUUUGAGCCAGGAUUAGUACAUUUUGUAUUUAAGAUUCAUACAUUGAUGAAGUGUUUUAGUACUCACUUUGAACACAUGAUAACACAUUAUAUAUAUCAUGUAUAUAAUGCUUUAUUUACGAAUUAAAUUUUUAUAAUUUUUCUCUUUAAAUCCAUCAAAUCAUAUGGUUUUAAAUUUUUACUAAUUGUAAUAUUCAUAUAUACUGGAUUGCCAAAUUUUUUCUGUACAUUUGCGUUUUGGUAGACUUCGAUUAAAAUCAUGUCUUCUAUGCCAAUAUCUAUUAAUCAAACUGGUUCCUUCAAAACUAUUCUAAUUUUAACCUAUUAAUUUAUGUAAAAAUUAAACUGGUCUAAUAUAAACAAAACAAUGAUAUCAAGAUCAAUGCUUUCAAUCUAUUUACAACCAAUAUUCUUUAGUGAAAGACAGUUACCCGGAAUGAAAACAGGGUGGAAUGAAAUUACGCUUACAUUACCAGUAAUACUUUUAAAACAUAUUUUGUAAUUCAAUUGGAACAGAUUCAAAACAUUUUUUUAAUUUUAAGCCAUAUUUGGCUCAACUUUUCCAAAGUUUUGCCUUUAUUGGCUUUAAAUAUAACAUUUUGUUUCAUUCUACCUUUUUUAAUUUGAACACAAUUGAUGAGUGUUAUGUAUUCAUAUGUGUUUGGUUAAACAAAUUAAAAAUCUGGUAUUCUUUGAUUAAGGUCAUAUGCUAUUCUUUUAUCAUGUUUAAAAAUGGUCUCAUGCUUGCACGACUGACAAAAAGAAUUUUAACCAUAUAACGCUACAAUGUGUGCAAGUUGUACACAAUAUCAUGUUAAUGGAUAGUUUCAUUACUUUAUCUACUAUAUGACUUUUUUUAAAGAGUUACUGGCAGUUACAAUAGCUACCGAUGAAACUGAUGGCUUUACAAGAUAUGCUGAAUCAGCAGACAGAUAUGGAAUUAAACAUAAGGUAAUGAAUGCACAUGUAUACAAAUUAUUUAGUAAGAAAGGAGAACAUCUAAUUAACAAGACAACAUCUUAAAAAGUUAUUUAAAUUUAAGGAUGUGGUCCAACAUCCCAUCCUUGCAUUCCAUAAGUCUUUAAGGGAGAUCAAGAUGGUUUGUUAAAAAAAUGUAAGAGCAAAUGUCUGAGCUGGAGAUUUAUAAAUUUUUAGUAGACAUUUGAACAUUCAAUAAUGUAUUAUUAAAAAGAUUGGCCAAUGUGUUCUCAAAUCUCAAGCAGAUUUCCAGGAUUGUAGGUACAAUUUAAGCCUUACCAGUUGACUAUACAUUUUUUUUAGUUUUACAUGUCCCUCAGGCAUUGUCAGGAAAAGUGGAAGUUCCGCAU
RNAcentral lists this long non-coding RNA (2757 nucleotides) under Mytilus galloprovincialis (Mediterranean mussel). Lineage: Eukaryota; Metazoa; Mollusca; Bivalvia; Mytilida; Mytilidae. The record is from RNAcentral.